CCCUUAGAUGUCCUGGGCCGCACGCGCGCUACACUGAACGGAUCAGCGCGUUUUCCCUUCCCGAGAGGGACGGGUAACCUGCUGAACCCCGUUCGUGGUAGGGAUCGGGGCUUGCAAUUAUUCCCCGUGAACCAGGAAUGCCCAGUAAGUGCAAGUCAUAAGCUUGCGUUGAUUACGUCCCUGCCCUUUGUACACACCGCCCGUCGCUACUACCGAUUGAACGUUUUAGUGAGGUACUCGGACUGAGCCUCAGAAGAUUCACGUCUUUUGUGCUGCUCGGGAAGAUUACCAAACUUGAGCGUUUAGAGGAAGUAAAAGUCGUAACA
RNAcentral lists this ribosomal RNA (326 nucleotides) under uncultured eukaryote. RNAcentral describes it as "partial 18S ribosomal RNA". It matches the Rfam family "Eukaryotic small subunit ribosomal RNA", at positions 1470 to 1796 of the family's 1831-position model. The record is from RNAcentral.